UGUUAACGAGAAUGGUUGAUUUUGUGGUAAAAAGCGAACAAGUGAAAAAAUAAAUGAAAACAAGUGAUUGUGUGUGAAUAUAAUCGGGAAUAGAAACUGUAAAUUUAUUAAAGAGUGAUUAACAACAACAAAGAAAACAAAAGAGAAAAGCAACAACUAAAACUUAAAAUAUAAACUUAGAGUUUAUUUUGUUUUUGUUGUUUUACUUUUUUUUUCUACUUUUAAUGAAAGUCAACUCUAAAUACAAUAAAAAGAAAGAAAAAACACAUACAUAAAAACAACAACAACAAUUUCUUGAACAAUAAAAAAUAAACAAAAACAACAACAAUAACAAUAAUAAGAAAAAAUAUUUCAUAGUUUUUCUCAGACUAUUUUGAAAUUUUGUGAAAAUUCAACAAUAAAGUUAAAAAAAAAUCUGAAAAAAUACAACAGCAGCAGCAACAACAGCAACUACUACUGCAUCCAUAACGUCAACAACAACAACAUCUACAACAACAAAUACUUUUAAAUCUAACUUACAUACUUUGGAUUUUUCUUUGGCGGUGCUUUUUUUCACCAAAUUUCGGUACAUGUCCUAACCGAUUAUUUAAAAAUCAU
Lucilia sericata (common green bottle fly) is the source of this 597-nucleotide long non-coding RNA. RefSeq lists it as uncharacterized. Lineage: Eukaryota; Metazoa; Arthropoda; Insecta; Diptera; Calliphoridae. The record is from RefSeq and is a predicted model, not a curated record. The transcript is spliced from 3 exons.